AAAUAUUUUCACUUUUUAUUUAAGAAGCUGUUUUACAGAAAUGUAAGCCACAAUUAAUUACUAAGUAAUUAUUGUUGUAUAGUUCAUGAAAGCACCUUUGCUUGAUAUUGUUAUAUGGCAUUCUGCCAUACAGAAUUCAUGAGUUUUAGUUUGUGUUGUUACAAGGCUUUUGUCAUGGCCAUUUGCUUCUGGCUGGCAGAAUAUUAUGCCUUCAGAGAAAGAGAGGGCAAGAGAGAGAAAAAGGAUAAAAGAAAUAUAAGGUAAACAAGAACUAAAGUGACAGGUAAGCAUAAACUCCUUCUACCAACCCUACUCCGUAAUGUACCUAACCUUGGCCUGGCCCUAGUGCAGGAUGCUCAACUGGGCCCCCUCGGUGGAAGUGGUGCAAAAAAACUUCUGCCCUGUUUCUCUGGCAGAAAAGAAAAAUAAGGAUUGCACACUCUAUUAAAUCAAAAAGAAAAUGUAUUACAUGCUAGUUACACUACAUGGCAACAGCAUGUUGCCCUACGCGUUUCAACCUCAAAAGGUCUUCAUCAGGGGUACAAAAAUAAUAAAAAAAGGCAGAAAGAAUUAUACAUUCAUCUUGGUUAAAUACCUUGUGUAAUGUAAGUCACAUCAUUGGAAAACAGCAUCAGCGCGUGUGAUGUCACUUCAGCUGCCCACAAUGAUCAAUAUAAACCACGUGCAUUAUGAGAACACUUCAAUAACUUCAAUAAUUUCUUCUGGGGGUGGUAUUGAUAAGAAUACCUCACUUUUGAGGAGAGAGGUCAGAAUGGAUUUUCCACCUUGACACUGUAACCCCUAUGGGAUUAAAUGAUAUAUUAAAUCUAUCCUGCUUUUUGCAGACAAGAUAACUCUGAUAUAGUGGCCUAUGCUCAACUUUUGGAAACGCUAUAAGACUCCAGUUACCCCCCUGGGGAUGCUCUCUCCCCCAAAAUGUGCUAUAUAUUCUCUGGAAUUUUCUGUUCAAGAUGAUGGACCAAAGGGGCGAAAUAUGUGGCUAUUUUUGUUAGAAAUAAUUGUUCCUUGUAUUGAUAUUAUAUACACAGUGUUUCUUAUAGUCUAUAUUUAUUCAAUGUCUUAUUAUGGCCCUGUAGUUCCAUUUAUAGGUAGACUUCCGCAUUGUGGAGCGCAUUUGUAUUCCAGAUCAUAUUCCAUAGUGCUAUUUGAUGCCUUUUUUGAAGCGGUAGUGACGUCAUAUGUAUUGUAGCGAUCAUGAUGUGAUCGUUAUUGAACAGACUAUAUCAGUAGAAUUCUAUUUAGGUGCACUAGCAACUUGCUAUUACACCUUUAUAUCUGUUUUGAUAUUUCCCCUCCUUGUGAUGGCCUUUUAGCCCUUCAGAAGUAACCACUUCCGCUCGCUGGAACGCAUUUGCAUUCUGGAAGUGUUCCCAUAAUGCACGUGGUUCAUAUUGAUCAUUGUGGGCAGCGGAAGUGACAUCACACGCGCUGAUGCGCGCUUGUUUUCCAAUGAUGUGAAUUACAUUACACAAUGUAUUUAACCAAGAUGAAUGUAUAAUUCUUUCUACCUUUUUUUAUUAUUUUUGUGCCCCUGAUGAAGACCUUUUGAGGUCGAAACGUGUAGGGCGACAGGCUGUUGCCAUGUGGCCUGCCAUGUAAUAAAUCCUUAUUUUUCUUU
Molecule: long non-coding RNA, 1639 nt
Organism: Xenopus laevis (African clawed frog)
Lineage: Eukaryota; Metazoa; Chordata; Amphibia; Anura; Pipidae
Exons: 2
Source: RefSeq, a predicted model, not a curated record